Molecule: non-coding RNA, 23 nt
Filed under: Arabidopsis thaliana (thale cress)
Lineage: Eukaryota; Viridiplantae; Streptophyta; Magnoliopsida; Brassicales; Brassicaceae
Source: RNAcentral
GUUCGCGGUGGUCUAGGCAGUAG